CGAAGGUGGCUAGCGUUGUUCGGAAUCACUGGGCGUAAAGCGCGCGUAGGCGGCAAUACAAGUCAGAGGUGAAAUGCCGGGGCUUAACCCCGGAACUGCCUUUGAAACUGUAUUGCUCGAGUCUCGGAGGGGAUAGCGGAAUUCCUAAUGUAGAGGUGAAAUUCGUAGAUAUUAGGAGGAACACCUGUGGCGAAGGCGGCUAUCUGGACGAGUACUGACGCUGAGGCGCGAAAGCGUGGGGAUCAAACAGGAUUAGAUACCCUGGUAGUCCACGCUGUAAACGAUGGGUGCUAGCCGUCGGGGACAUAGUCCUCGGUGGCGUAGUUAACGCGUUAAGCACCCCGCCUGGGGAGUACGGUCGCAAGAUUA
RNAcentral lists this ribosomal RNA (369 nucleotides) under uncultured organism. RNAcentral's name for it is "bacterial SSU rRNA". It matches the Rfam family "Bacterial small subunit ribosomal RNA", at positions 526 to 896 of the family's 1533-position model. The record is from RNAcentral.